GGCAUGUUAUUCGGGCUGAUUUGAGAACGAGGUUUGCUUGUUGCUUGUAAAGAAGCGGCAGGAGACCAACGCAGAUUUUUUUUUAGUCGGGAAGGGAAGAGGCAUGCAUGAAGAGCGCUGUAGUUCCUGGAAACGCAGCAUUUUGUACAGCCCAGUAAAUGUAGGCAUGGAGCCUGUGGCAACUCAUGUCUGUUCUGAACAUGGGGUGCAAACGUGGAGUCAGUGGCUACACAUGUCCAAUCUGAAGUGA
This 250-nucleotide long non-coding RNA is filed under the name Salvator merianae (Argentine black and white tegu). RNAcentral's name for it is "lncRNA (ENSSMRG00000009585.1)". The record is from RNAcentral. Lineage: Eukaryota; Metazoa; Chordata; Lepidosauria; Squamata; Teiidae.